UGUGAACAAACAAAGAGGCAAACAUCCAUUCUUGCCCCUUAUAAGUGGCUUAUCACAUCACACUAAGUUUAUUCUCUACUGGAGAAAGCUGUACAAAACCAUUCAGUUCAACCAAUUUGAGCAGAAUUAUUACACUAUUCGUAAUGAAGAUCAGUGUGAUCAUGGUUGUUGGGCUGAUAUUUAUCAACUUAUGCACCUGCAUGCCAAGAAAUGUGGCGAACCAUGAAUCUCACGAUACAGUGGUGCCACAGAAGGAAAUGCGCAGUCUGAUGUCUGGCACUGAUGGAAAAAACGGGCCUCCGAGCAAUGAUCACCAGUGCCCACUUGGAACCUACCCUAAUUGCCAAGGGAUGUCCCAGAAUACUCAAGAAGCAGCUCACGAUGUUGGAGGAAACUAGGGCAAACUGAGGGAUUAUGAGACGGAAUGAAUACCCCCAGUUUAUAUUGCUUUUA
Molecule: non-coding RNA, 453 nt
Organism: Triticum urartu
Lineage: Eukaryota; Viridiplantae; Streptophyta; Magnoliopsida; Poales; Poaceae
Source: RefSeq, a predicted model, not a curated record